UACGGGGGGGGCAAGCGUUGUUCGGAAUUACUGGGCGUAAAGGGCUCGUAGGUGGCCAACUAAGUCAGACGUGAAAUCCCUCGGCUUAACCGGGGAACUGCGUCUGAUACUGGAUGGCUUGAGAUUGGGAGAGGGAUGCGGAAUUCCGGGUGGAGUGGUGAAAUGCGUAGAGAUCCGGAGGAACACCAGAGGCGAAGGCGGCCUACUGGGCCAGUACUGACGCUGAGCCGCGAAAGCCAGGGGAGCGAACGGG
RNAcentral lists this ribosomal RNA (253 nucleotides) under uncultured bacterium. RNAcentral describes it as "partial 16S ribosomal RNA". It matches the Rfam family "Bacterial small subunit ribosomal RNA", at positions 524 to 776 of the family's 1533-position model. The record is from RNAcentral.